GUCCAGCUGACGAUCCCUAAAUAGGACGAAACGCGCGUCCUGGAU
RNAcentral lists this non-coding RNA (45 nucleotides) under Schistosoma mattheei. Lineage: Eukaryota; Metazoa; Platyhelminthes; Trematoda; Strigeidida; Schistosomatidae. The record is from RNAcentral.